This 486-nucleotide ribosomal RNA is filed under the name uncultured bacterium. Its description in RNAcentral is "bacterial SSU rRNA". It matches the Rfam family "Bacterial small subunit ribosomal RNA", at positions 15 to 507 of the family's 1533-position model. The record is from RNAcentral.
GAUCAUGGCUCAGGAUGAACGCUGGCGGCGUGCUUAACACAUGCAAGUCGAACGAAGCACUUUGAGAUCUUCGGAUGGAUGAGUGACUGAGUGGCGGACGGGUGAGUAACGCGUGGGUAACCUGCCUCAUACAGGGGGAUAACAGUUAGAAAUGACUGCUAAUACCGCAUAAGCGCACAGUGUCGCAUGACACAGUGUGAAAAACUCCGGUGGUAUGAGAUGGACCCGCGUCUGAUUAGGUAGUUGGUGAGGUAACGGCCCACCAAGCCGACGAUCAGUAGCCGACCUGAGAGGGUGAUCGGCCACAUUGGGACUGAGAUACGGCCCAGACUCCUACGGGAGGCAGCAGUGGGGAAUAUUGGGCAAUGGGCGAAAGCCUGACCCAGCAAUGCCGCGUGAAGGAAGAAGGCCUUCGGGUUGUAAACUUCUUUUACCGAGGACGAACAAAUGACGGUACUCGGCGAAUAAGCUCCGGCUAACUACGUG